This 505-nucleotide ribosomal RNA is filed under the name uncultured bacterium. RNAcentral describes it as "bacterial SSU rRNA". It matches the Rfam family "Bacterial small subunit ribosomal RNA", at positions 28 to 526 of the family's 1533-position model. The record is from RNAcentral.
GAUGAACGCACAAGACGUGCCUAACACAUGCAAGUCGAGCGGAAACGAUGGGAGCUUGCUCCCAGGCGUCGAGCGGCGGACGGGUGAGUAACACUUAGGAAUCUACCUAGUAGUGGGGGAUAGCUCGGGGAAACUCGAAUUAAUACCGCAUACGACCUACGGGAGAAAGGGGGCAGUUUACUGCUCUCGCUAUUAGAUGAGCCUAAGUCGGAUUAGCUAGAUGGUGGGGUAAAGGCCUACCAUGGCGACGAUCUGUAGCUGGUCUGAGAGGAUGAUCAGCCACACCGGGACUGAGACACGGCCCGGACUCCUACGGGAGGCAGCAGUGGGGAAUAUUGGACAAUGGGGGAAACCCUGAUCCAGCCAUGCCGCGUGUGUGAAGAAGGCCUUUUGGUUGUAAAGCACUUUAAGCAGUGAAGAAGACCUAACGGUUAAUACCCGUUAGCGAUGACAUUAGCUGCAGAAUAAGCACCGGCUAACUCUGUGCCAGCCGCCGCCGUAAAAC